RNAcentral lists this ribosomal RNA (253 nucleotides) under uncultured bacterium. Its description in RNAcentral is "partial 16S ribosomal RNA". It matches the Rfam family "Bacterial small subunit ribosomal RNA", at positions 524 to 776 of the family's 1533-position model. The record is from RNAcentral.
UACGGGGGGGGCAAGCGUUGUUCGGAAUUACUGGGCGUAAAGGGCUCGUAGGCGGCCAACUAAGUCAUACGUGAAAUCCCUCGGCUUAACCGGGGAACUGCGUCUGAUACUGGAUGGCUUGAGAUUGGGAGAGGGAUGCGGAAUUCCUGGUGUAGCGGUGAAAUGCGCAGAUAUCAGGAGGAACACCAAUUGCGAAGGCAGCUCGCUGGGACGUAACUGACGCUGAGACGCGAAAGCGUGGGGAGCAAACAGG